CCUGAGAAACGGCUACCACAUCCAAGGAAGGCAGCAGGCGCGCAAAUUACCCAAUCCAGACAAUGGGAGGUGGUGACGAAGAGUMCCGGAGGACUGAAUAUUUUCAGUUAGUCUGGAAUGAAUACAAUUUAAGCAAUUGAGUUGAGAAACAACUGGAGGGCAAGUCUGGUGCCAGCAGCCGCGGUAAUUCCAGCUCCAGUAGCGUGUCUCAAAGUUGCUGCGCUUAAAACGCUCGUAGUUGGAUGAGAAACUAUAUAUUGGAAAGUUGCUUGUUGGAUCAUUAAUUGUGGUACUAUUUGUAUGUCUUUGGCAUCGUGUAGUUUCCACAAUUAACCUUCAGUAACAUACAACCGAUGUGUAGUAAUUGCGUGUGAGGAUGAUCAUUGACCUUGAGUGUGUUGAAGAUCGUGUCUCACGGGAUGUGCCUUGAGUAAAUCAGAGUGCUCAAAGCAGGCUAAUGCCUGAAUGUUUUUAGCAUGGAACGAACAAUAAUGUAGACGCGUAUUGAAAUCAGUAGUUGUUUCUAUUUCGAUAGAUCUUCUAMUUCAAUACGUAACAUCUACCGCCAAUCACGGAUGUUGGUUCCGUAUUGGGGUACUGAU
RNAcentral lists this ribosomal RNA (602 nucleotides) under Myxozoa sp. OMsCVII 6. RNAcentral describes it as "SSU rRNA". Lineage: Eukaryota; Metazoa; Cnidaria; Myxozoa. The record is from RNAcentral.